RNAcentral lists this ribosomal RNA (468 nucleotides) under uncultured bacterium. RNAcentral's name for it is "partial 16S ribosomal RNA". It matches the Rfam family "Bacterial small subunit ribosomal RNA", at positions 28 to 507 of the family's 1533-position model. The record is from RNAcentral.
GACGAACGCUGGCGGCGUGCUUAACACAUGCAAGUCGAACGGAAAGGCCCUGCUUUUGUGGGGUGCUCGAGUGGCGAACGGGUGAGUAACACGUGAGUAACCUGCCCUUGACUUUGGGAUAACUUCAGGAAACUGGGGCUAAUACCGGAUAGGAGCUCCUGCUGCAUGGUGGGGGUUGGAAAGUUUCGGCGGUUGGGGAUGGACUCGCGGCUUAUCAGCUUGUUGGUGGGGUAGUGGCUUACCAAGGCUUUGACGGGUAGCCGGCCUGAGAGGGUGACCGGCAACAUUGGGACUGAGAUACGGCCCAGACUCCUACGGGAGGCAGCAGUGGGGAAUAUUGCAAGAUGGGCGGAAGCCUGAUGCAGCAACGCCGCGUGCGGGAUGACGGCCUUCGGGUUGUAAACCGCUUUCGCCUGUGACGAAGCGUGAGUGACGGUAAUGGGUAAAGAAGCACCGGCUAACUACGUG